Molecule: ribosomal RNA, 116 nt
Filed under: Periophthalmus magnuspinnatus
Lineage: Eukaryota; Metazoa; Chordata; Actinopteri; Gobiiformes; Gobiidae
Source: RNAcentral
CUUCACGGCUUCAACUUGAGAAUUCCCAAUCUUGUUUGAUCUCGGAAGCUAAGCAGGAGUUACUGGUUACUACAUGGAUGGGAGACCAUUGGUUAUACCAGGUGCCACAGUGGGGC